UAAUACGGGGGGAGCAAGCGUUGUUCGGAUUUACUGGGCGUAAAGGGCGCGUAGGCGGCCGCCGCAAGUCACUUGUGAAAUCUCCGGGCUCAACUCGGAACGGUCAAGUGAUACUGCGGUGCUAGAGUGCGGAAGGGGCAACUGGAAUUCUUGGUGUAGCGGUGAAAUGCGUAGAUAUCAAGAGGAACACCUGCGGCGAAGGCGGGUUGCUGGGCCGACACUGACGCUGAGGCGCGAAAGCUAGGGGAGCGAACGGGAUUAGAUACCCCGGUAGUCCUAGCCUUAAACGAUGAAUGCUUGGUGUCCGGAGUUAGAUAGUCUCCGGGUGCCGUCGCUAACGCUUUUAGCAUUCCGCCUGGGGAGUACGGGCGCAAGACU
RNAcentral lists this ribosomal RNA (378 nucleotides) under uncultured bacterium. RNAcentral describes it as "bacterial SSU rRNA". It matches the Rfam family "Bacterial small subunit ribosomal RNA", at positions 521 to 895 of the family's 1533-position model. The record is from RNAcentral.